AUCAGGGGUAGAGGCCGUGAAACCCGCCCGGCAUUUCGGGCGCCGCCAGGGGCGGGCGGAGCCAGUGGCGCGACCGGCUACCACGCGA
This 88-nucleotide non-coding RNA is filed under the name unclassified sequences. Its description in RNAcentral is "c-di-GMP sequence". It matches the Rfam family "c-di-GMP-II-GAG riboswitch aptamer". The record is from Rfam by way of RNAcentral.